UAUGUCGAUUCGGUUCGCUGAACAUUUCAAUCGCACUCGAAAUUAGUUCAACGAGCUUCCUAGCUCAGUUCAGGCUAAGAUUAGAGAUAUCGGCUUCUAUUGAUUCGUGGUCACACUCCCAUCAGUCAUCGGAAGGGUCGAUCACACUUCUAUCAAUCCGUGCUCGAGAGGUGGAUGGACACAACUCAUGUUAGUGAGCUGACUCUCUCUCCCCUUUCUUUUUUUGCUAUCACCGACAUUAACUUUUAUAGCACACCUAUGCCAUUCGACAAUGUAAUCCAUAAUUAGCAUUCCGACGUCUGGGAGUGCCCCAUUCGAAUCAUGAUGCAUUUCUUAUCAGGGCAUCCCCCAAUUACUGGAGCUUUGUUCCUUGGAAUGCUCGGGAGGUUGACCAGAUGGCCCGAGCCUUUUUGGUGUACCUCUUUGCUACAACAUUAUUCAAUGACUCGGGGAACUCAAUGAACUUCCACUAUCUACCACCACUGUGGGACUUGGACUAGGUCUCUUCUUACAACUGGGGAUCUACGGCUCUCACAUAUUUGUACCAUUCAAUGGAUGUUACCAUUCAAGGAAGCAAGAGGAUCUACAGUUUUUGGUUUGGGCCUUGGAGAUCAAACUUCUGGUGGGUUCACAACCCAUUUGCACCUCACGGGCUUUUCCUCGCUUGAGUCGUUCGGGCUCAAGCAGGACCAUUACUCUAGAGUGGUCUCAAGUUUACAUGCACCGCAUGCAGAUCAAUAGUUUAACCUGGGAUAUGGUGAUUAACUAGGAGAGCAUAGCCAAUGAGAGCCCUAAUUAUUAUUUGUAGCUGACCUCGAGCAGAGGAGGAUCCUACUAAUCAGACCCGCCUGUUGGGCUUGGUAAUUAGGAGAGAGGAUCUAUGGCUGGGAGCGAGGCCCCAACAGGCACCGAGUCCCAUUAUCCCAUCCUCUUUCCAUGUUCUGUACAGAAGAUCUUGCUAGCAAGGAAUUAGCAGAGUGCUUGAUGGGGUAUGAGGAGCCCGAAGAUAUUACAAUCCAAUCUCAAUGGAUGGACUAUACCUCAUUCAUCCCUCAACUGUUGGGGGUCGUACCUCUCAGCGAUGAUGCUGUAGCUCAAGUAUUUUCUUGAAUUCACUUAGAAUUCCCCUUUUGUUAAAUGUUGCUUUCUUAAUCAUUUAUUUACAGCUUAUCCACUAGGCUCCUACUAUUCGUGAGCUAACUAAGGGAUGGUCCUCUCGAAGCUCCAAGCUUUAUCAUAUCGUAGGCUUUUCUAUCGGUGUGCUUCUAAGGCAUCUUCUACGACCAUGUCUGAUGUGGUUCUAAGGAGUGUUCGAUUCCUCUUGAUUUGAUGGUCUUAUAUUGGAGAUCAUAUGGCGUGAUGGAGCACCAGCUUGCUAUGGAGCUAGUGCCUCCCUCUGAAGUUCACUCUGAGUACUUACACCCAUAAGGACCAUGAGGGCUUGCAGGGGCAACUGGACUACCUGCAGCAUCAGAUUGACGCUCAGCAAUGUCAGAUUGACACACUAACCCUUCAACUAUUAGCCUUGCAAACCCAAGGAAUGGAUACUA
This is a long non-coding RNA of Ricinus communis (castor bean), 1550 nucleotides long. RefSeq lists it as uncharacterized. Lineage: Eukaryota; Viridiplantae; Streptophyta; Magnoliopsida; Malpighiales; Euphorbiaceae. The transcript has 4 exons. The record is from RefSeq and is a predicted model, not a curated record.